UGUGGGAGCGGGCUUGCUCGCGAAACGGUGUGUCAGCUAGCAAAGAUGUUGGCUGACACACCGCCUUCGCGAGCAAGCCCGCUCCCACA
This 89-nucleotide unclassified non-coding RNA is filed under the name Pseudomonas migulae. Lineage: Bacteria; Pseudomonadati; Pseudomonadota; Gammaproteobacteria; Pseudomonadales; Pseudomonadaceae. The record is from RNAcentral.